UGGGGAAUCUUGCGCAAUGGGGGGAACCCUGACGCAGCGACGCCGCGUGCGGGACGGAGGCCUUCGGGUCGUAAACCGCUUUCAGCAGGGAAGAGUCAAGACUGUACCUGCAGAAGAAGCCCCGGCUAACUACGUGCCAGCAGCCGCGGUAAUACGUAGGGGGCGAGCGUUAUCCGGAUUCAUUGGGCGUAAAGCGCGCGUAGGCGGCCCGGCAGGCCGGGGGUCGAAGCGGGGGGCUCAACCCCCCGAAGCCACCGGAACCUCCGCGGCUUGGGUCCGGGAGGGGAGGGUGGAACACCCGGUGUAGCGGUGGAAUGCGCAGAUAUCGGGUGGAACACCGGUGGCGAAGGCGGCCCUCUGGGCCGAGACCGACGCUGAGGCGCGAAAGCUGGGGGAGCGAACAGG
This 405-nucleotide ribosomal RNA is filed under the name Bacillota bacterium. RNAcentral describes it as "Firmicutes bacterium partial 16S ribosomal RNA". It matches the Rfam family "Bacterial small subunit ribosomal RNA", at positions 355 to 776 of the family's 1533-position model. The record is from RNAcentral. Lineage: Bacteria; Bacillati; Bacillota.